Molecule: ribosomal RNA, 507 nt
Filed under: uncultured bacterium
Lineage: Bacteria
Description: partial 16S ribosomal RNA
Rfam family: Bacterial small subunit ribosomal RNA
Source: RNAcentral
GACGAACGCUGGCGGCGUGCCUAAUACAUGCAAGUCGAACGCAUUUUCUUUCACCGUAGCUUGCUACACCGAAAGAAAAUGAGUGGCGAACGGGUGAGUAACACGUGGGUAACCUGCCCAUCAGCGGGGGAUAACACUUGGAAACAGGUGCUAAUACCGCAUAAUUCCAUUUACCGCAUGGUAAAUGGAUGAAAGGCGCUUUUGCGUCACUGAUGGAUGGACCCGCGGUGCAUUAGCUAGUUGGUGGGGUAACGGCCUACCAAGGCUGCGAUGCAUAGCCGACCUGAGAGGGUGAUCGGCCACACUGGGACUGAGACACGGCCCAGACUCCUACGGGAGGCAGCAGUAGGGAAUCUUCGGCAAUGGACGCAAGUCUGACCGAGCAACGCCGCGUGAGUGAAGAAGGUUUUCGGAUCGUAAAACUCUGUUGUUAGAGAAGAACAAGGAUGAGAGUGGAAAGUUCAUCCCUUGACGGUAGCUAACCAGAAAGCCACGGCUAACUACGUG